GGGUCAUAAUUCAGUAGUAAAACAUUAGCUUUGUAUGCAAAAGUUCCCAAGUUCAAACCCUGGUGUCUCCA
Podarcis lilfordi (Lilford's wall lizard) is the source of this 71-nucleotide non-coding RNA. NCBI's taxonomy places the organism in Eukaryota, Metazoa, Chordata, Lepidosauria, Squamata, Lacertidae. The record is from the annotation of a GenBank genome assembly.